This 462-nucleotide ribosomal RNA is filed under the name uncultured bacterium. RNAcentral describes it as "partial 16S ribosomal RNA". It matches the Rfam family "Bacterial small subunit ribosomal RNA", at positions 28 to 507 of the family's 1533-position model. The record is from RNAcentral.
GACGAACGCUGGCGGCGUGCUUAACACAUGCAAGUCGAGCGGUAAGGCCUUUCGGGGUACACGAGCGGCGAACGGGUGAGUAACACGUGGGUGAUCUGCCCUGCACUUCGGGAUAAGCCUGGGAAACUGGGUCUAAUACCGGAUAUGACCUCCUAUCGCAUGGUGGGUGGUGGAAAGAUUUAUCGGUGCAGGAUGGGCCCGCGGCCUAUCAGCUUGUUGGUGGGGUAAUGGCCUACCAAGGCGACGACGGGUAGCCGACCUGCGAGGGUGACCGGCCACACUGGGACUGAGACACGGCCCAGACUCCUACGGGAGGCAGCAGUGGGGAAUAUUGCACAAUGGGCGAAAGCCUGAUGCAGCGACGCCGCGUGAGGGAUGACGGCCUUCGGGUUGUAAACCUCUUUCAGCAGGGACGAAGCGCAAGUGACGGUACCUGCAGAAGAAGCACCGGCUAACUACGUG